Falco peregrinus (peregrine falcon) is the source of this 2691-nucleotide long non-coding RNA. RefSeq lists it as uncharacterized. NCBI's taxonomy places the organism in Eukaryota, Metazoa, Chordata, Aves, Falconiformes, Falconidae. The record is from RefSeq and is a predicted model, not a curated record. The transcript is spliced from 2 exons.
UGUCCCUCGGCGGUGGCUGCCCCCCCGGCGGGAGCAGGGCCGCUGCCGCCGCGCUCGUUGCCUGCGGGCUGAGCCGGUGCGCGGGGUGGGGGGUAACCCUGCUGCCCAGCGGGGCUCUGUGUGCGCCGUGAGCGUGGCCGGGCGCCGCUGAGGCCUGCCCCAAGCCUUGCUGCUGCUCGGUUUCACAAGGCGUAAGAAACUCUCAAGUACACGUAGAACAAUUCCUUGCGACCGCCCCACGGCUCCUGAUGUUCUUGCCUGGCACCCACUGCCCUUCUGCAACAGCCACUGAAGUUGUACAUGCAUUGAAGACACCGUGAAGCCAAAAUCAGCCCGUGGCCAGGAGAGUGAUGUGGAGUUGAUCUUACGCAAGCGGUGUGUGGUUACACAAGUUUUGUGUACAAGCUCUACGUCUGUAACAGCAAAACUGUGCCACGUUACCUUUGUAGGAAGCCUAGAAAAGGAUGUGUAGCAUCUCUGAACUGCCAACUGGAGCCUCAGCCACGUACCUGCACCUUCCUUAACGGUGAUAAUUAUACCAUAUUAUCUGCGUCUUGUUUCUGGAACAGCUUCUUAAUUAAAUAAGCCGGUUUAUGUGCACACCAGGAAUUGGCAAGUCCCUUUUUUGUUUCAGUAGCUAAACUUGCUGCUUUCUCAGUGCUCCAGAGUUUCACUUGCACCAGCAGUGGCAGUCCCCUAGGCUGGACUUUAGGUGAAAACAUUGCAUCGGUUUAAACAAGGCUGUGGUUCAAUAUAUACAUUUUCAGCAGUAAAACUAGUUCAGGAAGUUCCCAUCCCCGCACCACAUGCUGGGGAGCUGGACCACAGCACACAGUUCCAUAACCAGUUUUAUUGGCACACCUGAAGAAGUGUUUUGUGGCAGUGCAAGGAGACGCAUUGACUGGAAUUGCUUCCGAAUCUAGUACUGCCACCUCAUUUCAACAGAUGUAGUUAAAUACUGCAAAUCCCUUCACAGAAACAUUUCAGAAUUUGAAAAUCAAGGGACCUCCCUGGCCAUGCUGGCAGAUUUACCUGCUCUCAUUUUUGCCCCAAACUGGAGUGCUCUCUCAACCUGAUGGAUAAAUAGAUCUAAACUCCUGGAGUUAUUUUUUUUCUUAAUGUAGAAAACCAAAGAACUUUACAUCUAUUUUGCUAAAGUAGCACAACGCCUUACUAGCUGCUAGUGACACUUGCCAUGGCUUAUUUUGGUUGUGUAUGGUCUCUUCAGAGACUUCUGUGCAAAAGUAGUAUUGCAUAUCUACUCCAAACAUGGGCAUCAUCACGCCUACAAUUGUGCCAGAGCAUCGCAGUCCCAGUCAGACGGCUUCUCUCCUGGAACAGCCUGGAACAGUAUUGCAACCAGGUCAGCUAGGAGUAGUUUCAGUAACUGGCAGGGGAAUUCCAGCCCUGCGUUUUUAUCUGCAGUGAUUUCCUCGCUGCUGGUAACAGCUAUGGCUUUGGAUGUGAGAAGAAUUGACUUUGCAGGAUUUAAUUCAGAUGGCUCUAAAUCCAACGUCACUGAUUUCAGCCCAUGGCUGGGCUUACAAGUCAUUAGCAUUUCUCUGCUGCAAGGUAAAGCGGCCAUGUUUGAAUGUCACACCCAGUUACAUGAUUUCAGGGAAUGAUUUGGCUAUCAAUGAAGAGUUAUUUAUUGGCUGAUGAAAGUGGAGAACACAGAAUUUGGUUAGCAGCAGCAAUUAUCUUAGGGAGAUUAAAAAAAAAAAACAGUUGGUGGUAACCAUUAACGCAUUGCAACAAAAUGAUACAGCUCUGCUAAUUCUCCCAUUCCAUUUGUAAAAAGUUGAUAUUCUGAAAGAAAACAUGAGCACUGAUGGGGAAGAGUGAUACAGGUGGGAGACCUGGCAUGAACCAAAGGUCUGUGCAGUAAAGGAUAACAAAGUUGCAGGUGGUAUUGGGGUGAAUUGAAGACACUCCUAUGGAGAAAUAAAGCAGGGUGGGAGACACAGAACUCGCAGGAAAAACCUGGAGACAAUGAGAUAUGCAAAGUCACAGGUUUGUUCAAAAUAAACUGGAAAGAAUGGGUCAGUGGGUGAGAGGAGGAAGCUUCAGGAACAUGGAGGAGGUAAGAGGGCACGCAGGUCUCUUGCCAUGGUUGGGGGGUGGGUGAUGGUAAGACCAGCUUCUUAGCAUAAAGGAAGGUGCGAGUAGUUUCAGAAAUGUCCUGAAAGUGGCACAAAAGGAUGUGUGGUGGGAAACCAGAACUAAUACAAAAAGGACUGAGAAACAGUUACACUAAAGUUGGCAAUGGGGCUGGAAAUUAGGCAGAUGGACAGCAGGCAGGAAACAAGGAAUACCAGCGGAGAGAAAUACGGCAACAAGGUGCUGGGAGGAGCCUUGAGAGGUCAUCAUGCAACAAAGCGCCCUAGUUAGUACAUUCCUGCAGGUAACAACACUGAUGUCAUCCAGAAGGUGAGAUUUCAUGCAAAGACUAUGCUUAACUAUGCCCUGGGAUAACAAACGGCCAGGGAGAAGCAACCGGAAUGGGAGUACGCAAACACCAGGAAACCUGGGCAACACAACACAGGAACCUGAACAACUGGUGCAUGUUGUCAGACCAGAUACUACAGGCAUGAAAGAAAGAGGGUGGAAUGGGAACGGUGACUGGAAAACAGGCGUUUUAGGGAAUGUAUUGCCCAAGAAAGAGAAAAAUAAAAGGUAAUGGCACUACAG